AUUGAACGCUGGCGGCAUGCCUUACACAUGCAAGUCGAACGGUAACAGGUCUUCGGAUGCUGACGAGUGGCGAACGGGUGAGUAAUACAUCGGAACGUGCCCGAUCGUGGGGGAUAACGAGGCGAAAGCUUUGCUAAUACCGCAUACGAUCUACGGAUGAAAGCGGGGGAUCUUCGGACCUCGCGCGGACGGAGCGGCCGAUGGCAGAUUAGGUAGUUGGUGGGAUAAAAGCUUACCAAGCCGACGAUCUGUAGCUGGUCUGAGAGGAUGAUCAGCCACACUGGGACUGAGACACGGCCCAGACUCCUACGGGAGGCAGCAGUGGGGAAUGUUGGACAAUGGGCGAAAGCCUGAUCCAGCCAUGCCGCGUGCAGGAUGAAGGCCUUCGGGUUGUAAACUGCUUUUGUACGGAACGAAAAGCCUCUUCCUAAUAAAGAGGGGUCAUGACGGUACCGUAAGAAUAAGCACCGGCUAACUACGUG
This 482-nucleotide ribosomal RNA is filed under the name uncultured bacterium. RNAcentral's name for it is "partial 16S ribosomal RNA". It matches the Rfam family "Bacterial small subunit ribosomal RNA", at positions 30 to 507 of the family's 1533-position model. The record is from RNAcentral.